CAUGACUGUUUUAAUAACUUACUGGUAUAAAAAUAUUUCAGAACACCGUGUGUCUGUGUGCCAAAAAGCCCUGUCACAUCAAGGCAGGUCUGGAACACGUUCCUCAGCGGGGUGUGUUCCUCUGGUCCUCCUGUGGAGACACUUGCAGAGCUGCUGGUUUCGAGUAGAGCCAGAGCAAAGGAAGGCUCUGCGGCAGAGUUGGGCAUCUGUGCGGGCUGCUCUGCCACUUGGCUCCGUGUCCCCAUCGACCUGGCGGUACUUGAGGUGGCAGUGGCGGGCAGGGGUGCCAUCUGGAGCUCUGGACUGACCCCACAGGUCAAUCACAGCAGAGGCCCUUGGGAUUCUGGAACAAGGCUGUGCCAUCAUCUGCAGACAAUCACUUUCCAUUUGAGAAACAGCUCCUGGCCUGUAAUUAAAAUUGACAAAAUUUAUUUGCU
RNAcentral lists this long non-coding RNA (437 nucleotides) under Chinchilla lanigera (long-tailed chinchilla). RNAcentral describes it as "lncRNA (ENSCLAG00000029275.1)". Lineage: Eukaryota; Metazoa; Chordata; Mammalia; Rodentia; Chinchillidae. The record is from RNAcentral.